RNAcentral lists this unclassified non-coding RNA (432 nucleotides) under soil metagenome. RNAcentral's name for it is "partial contains 5.8S ribosomal RNA, internal transcribed spacer 2, and large subunit ribosomal RNA". The stretch from base 1 to 120 matches the Rfam family "5.8S ribosomal RNA", at positions 35 to 154 of the family's 154-position model. The record is from RNAcentral.
GAUGAAGAACGUAGUGAAAUGCGAUACGUAAUGUGAAUUGCAGAAUUCAGUGAAUCAUCGAAUCUUUGAACGCAUAUUGCGCUCUCUGGUAUUCCGGAGAGCAUGCUUGUUUGAGUAUCAGUAAACACCUCAACUUCCAUAUCUUUUUUGAAAUGGGAGUUGGACUUGAGUGAUCCCAACGCUUUUCCUCACCGAAAAGUGGCGGGUUACUUGAAAUGCAGGUGCAGCUGGACUUUUCUCUGAGCUAUAAGCAUAUAUAUUUAGUCUGCCUAAAAAACAGAUUAUUACCUUUGCUGCAGCUAACAUAAAGGAGAUUAGUUCUUGUGCUGACUGAUGCAGGAUUCACAAAGACGGCUUCGGCCGACUUUGUAAACUCGAUCUCAAAUCAAGUAAGACUACCCGCUGAACUUAAGCAUAUCAAUAAGCGGAGGA